Oncorhynchus nerka (sockeye salmon) is the source of this 78-nucleotide non-coding RNA. Lineage: Eukaryota; Metazoa; Chordata; Actinopteri; Salmoniformes; Salmonidae. The record is from the annotation of a RefSeq genome assembly.
UCCCUGGUGGUCUAGUGGUUAGGAUUCGGCGCUCUCACCGCCGCACUGGGAACCCGGGUUCGAUUCCCGGUCAGGGAA